GAUCAACGCUGGCGGCGUGCCUAACACAUGCAAGUCGAACGCGAAAGCCCUUUCGGGGGGUAAGUAGAGUGGCGUCCGGGUGAGUAACACGUAGGUAAUCUACCUUCGGGUGGGGAAUAACUCGCCGAAAGGCGAGCUAAUACCGCAUAAUGCAGCGGCACCUAAUGGUGAUUAGUUGUUAAAGCGGGGGAUCGUAAGACCUCGCGCCUGAAGAGGAGCCUGCGGCAGAUUAGCUAGNGGUGAGGUAAUGGCUCACCAAGGCUUCGAUCUGUAGCUGGUCUGAGAGGACGGCCAGCCACACUGGCACUGACACACGGGCCAGACUCCUACGGGAGGCAGCAGUGGGGAAUUUUGGGCAAUGGGCGCAAGCCUGACCCAGCAACGCCGCGUGAGGGAGGAAAUCCUUCGGGAUGUAAACCUCACAAGCAAGGGAAGAGAGCUCAGGACCAAAUAAGUCCUGAGUCCGACGGUACC
Molecule: ribosomal RNA, 474 nt
Filed under: uncultured bacterium
Lineage: Bacteria
Description: bacterial SSU rRNA
Rfam family: Bacterial small subunit ribosomal RNA
Source: RNAcentral